CAGUCGCCGCGGGAAUACAGAGGGUGCGAGCGUUAAUCGGAUUUACUGGGCGUAAAGCGUGCGUAGGCGGCUUCUUAAGUCGGAUGUAAAAUCCCUGAGCUUAACUUAGGAAUUGCAUUCGAUACUGGGAAGCUAGAGUAUGGGAGAGGAUGGUAGAAUUCCAGGUGUAGCGGUGAAAUGCGUAGAGAUCUGGAGGAAUACCGAUGGCGAAGGCAGCCAUCUGGCCUAAUACUGACGCUGAGGUACGAAAGCAUGGGGAGCAAACAGGAUUAGAUACCCCUGUAGUCCCUGUCUCUUAUAC
Molecule: ribosomal RNA, 301 nt
Filed under: uncultured bacterium
Lineage: Bacteria
Description: partial 16S ribosomal RNA
Rfam family: Bacterial small subunit ribosomal RNA
Source: RNAcentral